AGGCUACUGCUAUCGGGGUCCGACUAAGCCAUGCGAGUUGAGAGGGGUAAGCCCUCGGCAUAUUGCUCAGUAACACGCGGAUAACCUGCCCUUGGGUUUGGGAUAACCCCGGGAAACUGGGACUAAUACCGGAUAGAUCAAAGAUACUGGAAUGUUCUUUGUUCGAAAGCUCCGGCGCCCAAGGAUGGGUCUGCGGCCUAUCAGGUAGUAGUGGGUGUAACGUACCUACUAGCCUACGACGGGUAAGGGUUGUGAGAGCAAGAGCCCUGAGAUGGAUUCUGAGACAUGAAUCCAGGCCCUACGGGGUGCAGCAGGCGCGAAAACUUUACACUGCGGGAAACCGCGAUAAGGGGACCCCGAGUGCCAGCACCUAGUGCUGGCUGUCCAGCUGUUCAAAAAACAGUUGUUAGCAAGGGCCGGGCAAGACCGGUGCCAGCCGCCGCGGUAACACCGGCGGCCCGAGUGGUAGCCGUUAUUAUUGGGUUUAAAGGGUCCGUAGCCGGCUUAUUAAGUCUCUUGGGAAAUCUGGCGACUCAAUCGUCAGGCGUUCAAGAGAUACUGGUAGGCUUGGGACCGGGAGAGGUGGGAGGUACUCCAGGGGUAGGGGUGAAAUCUCGUAAUCCUUGGGGGACCACCUAUGGCGAAGGCAUCCCACCAGAACGGGUCCGACGGUGAGGGACGAAAGCUGGGGGCACGAACCGGAUUAGAUACCCGGGUAGUCCCAGCUGUAAACGAUGCUCGCUAGGUGUCAGGUGCGGUGCGACCGCAUCUGGUGCCGUAGUGAAAACUUGAAGCGAGUCACCUGGGAAGUACGGUCGCAAGGCUGAAACUUAAAGGAAUUGGCGGGGGAGCACUACAACGGGUGGAGCCUGCGGUUCAA
RNAcentral lists this ribosomal RNA (880 nucleotides) under uncultured ANME-2 cluster archaeon. Its description in RNAcentral is "bacterial SSU rRNA". It matches the Rfam family "Archaeal small subunit ribosomal RNA", at positions 21 to 905 of the family's 1478-position model. The record is from RNAcentral. Lineage: Archaea; Methanobacteriati; Methanobacteriota; Methanomicrobia; Methanosarcinales.